Molecule: long non-coding RNA, 1336 nt
Filed under: Pan troglodytes (chimpanzee)
Lineage: Eukaryota; Metazoa; Chordata; Mammalia; Primates; Hominidae
Description: long non-coding RNA NONPTRT007344
Source: RNAcentral
GCUGUUCCGUGGGACCGAGACUGUGCCCGAGAACUGAAGAAUAACGAAGUUAUCCUUAGCGUCCUCCUAAAGGCUUUUCCUUUUGGCAUCUUAAAAGCUUGAGAGAUAAAAUGGAAACCCCAGAGAGGAGUCUGGGCAGGCUCCCAGGGUGCAUGCUGCCUCCAUAAAUCUGCUGAGCUCUAGACCCUCAAUCAGGACUUGUCCCUUGGCUAGCAGGAUCCUGGGAACACCUUUGGCCCUGCCCUGUGUAGAGAUGUUCAUGUCUGUUUCUGUGGGUCACUUUGUUAAGCUGAAGAGUUUUAAGAGUUAGAGCUCAGACCCUGGACUGGGAUUUUUCUUACCACUCAAACUUGCUAUCCACACACCCUGCACACCUUAGAUAAAACGAACAUUUUAAAAGCAGAGUUCACUUUCACUCCAGUCCCCCCUCUUUUGCCCUCACUGAAGCCAAACCACAGAAGACUUUGAGGAAUGAGAGACAAAUGAGGUAGAGCUCACCUGUGCUCACCAGCUCCGUCAGGGUGGUCAGCCGACCCCUUUCCCUGGGAACCCCACUUCUCUCUCUGGCUGGCUUGGUUGUCGGGGGUGAGAUGCCAUAUUGAUUACAGGGCAGCAAAGAACCAGUACCAGGAAUUUACUUGACCAUUCCCCUUAUUUUUCAUCUAGAGGAAUCUUGGAUUCAGCCCUUUUAUUGCUAAGACACCUUUUCACUGAGGUUCUUACCAGCUCAGCCAAAUCUCCACUCUGCUAUAGCAGAAGCAAUAAUGUUUGCUUUAAAAAGAUUUCUUGACUAUGCCUUUUCUUAGAAAGUUUGAUAGAUUAGUUAGAACUUCAGAUCAUCAGAUCAGUCUCAAAUGCGUUUCUUGGAAUUUUAUAUUUGACAAUAUUUAUACUAUACCAAACUCAUUUGCAGUUCUUAGGUUUGUUGGUUAAAACAUUUUUUUAAAGCAGUAAGUUUAUAGAAAAUGUUUUCAUUUAAUGGAAGGCUGGGGAAUGUCCAGCAUCAACCCCUAUGGCAUGCAUUCCCAGUGGCCUUCUCAUCUGGGCCUGGAACCUUUGGUUCAGGGCUUAGGGGAGAACAGGCCACGUGGCAACAGCCACACAGUCAUUGCCUUCAACACAGAGCCACGUGUCCCCAAACAGCAAUAGUCAUGCCCUUGUCCAGGCUGGGAUCUAAUUGAUACAAUAGGUCGUUGACUCCCUCCUAGUAGAGCUAUCUAGGUUUGUCUGGAAAGUUUCCGACCCUGGCUUAUAGGCACCACACCUCAUGUACUCCUCAUGGCUUGGAUCUCUGUAUUCAGCCUUUGUUCAGUCCAAUAAACUUUGAGUAGAUGAU